Molecule: ribosomal RNA, 253 nt
Filed under: uncultured bacterium
Lineage: Bacteria
Description: partial 16S ribosomal RNA
Rfam family: Bacterial small subunit ribosomal RNA
Source: RNAcentral
UACAGAGGGGGCAAGCGUUGUUCGGAAUUACUGGGCGUAAAGGGCGCGUAGGCGGCCCGCUAAGUCGAACGUGAAAUCCCCGAGCUCAACUCGGGAACUGCGUCCGAUACUGGCGGGCUUGAAUCCGGGAGAGGGAUGCGGAAUUCCAGGUGUAGCGGUGAAAUGCGUAGAUAUCUGGAGGAACACCGGUGGCGAAGGCGACUACCUGGCCCAUUCUUGACGCUGAGGCGCGAAAGCUAGGGGAGCGAACGGG